Molecule: ribosomal RNA, 913 nt
Filed under: uncultured marine archaeon
Lineage: Archaea
Description: bacterial SSU rRNA
Rfam family: Archaeal small subunit ribosomal RNA
Source: RNAcentral
UUCCGGUUGAUCCCGCCGGACCUGACUGCUAUCGGAUUGAUACUAAGCCAUGCAAGUCUUUGUAGUAAUACAAGGCAUACGGCUCAGUAACGCGUAGUCAACCUACCCUAUGGAUGGGGAUAAUCUCGGGAAACUGAGCAUAAUACCCAACAGAUCAUCAAUUCUGGAAUGGUUGAUGAUUCAAAUGAUUUUUCGCCAUAGGAUGGGACUGCGACCUAUCAGCUUGUUGGUGAGGUAAUGGCCCACCAAGGCAAUUACAGGUACGGGCUCUGAGAGGAGAAGCCCGGAGAUGGGUACUGAGACAAGGACCCAGGCCCUAUGGGGCGCAGCAGGCGAGAAAACUUUGCAAUGUGCGAAAGCACGACAAGGUUAAUCCGAGUGAUUUCUGCUAAAGGAAUCUUUUACCAGUUCUAAAAAUACUGGCGAAUAAGGGGUGGGCAAGUUCUGGUGUCAGCCGCCGCGGUAAAACCAGCACCUCAAGUGGUCAGGAGGAUUAUUGGGCCUAAAGCAUCCGUAGCCGGCUCUGUAAGUUUUCGGUUAAAUCUAUAUGCUCAACAUAUAGGCUGCCGAAAAUACUGCAUAGCUAGGGAAUGGGAGAGGUAGACGGUACUCGGUAGGAAGGGGUAAAAUCCUUUGAUCUAUCGAUGACCACCUGUGGCGAAGGCGGUCUACCAGAACAUGUUCGACGGUGAGGGAUGAAAGCUGGGGGAGCAAACCGGAUUAGAUACCCGGGUAGUCCCAGCUGUAAACGAUGCAGACUCGAUAAUGCACUGGCACAUAGCCAGUGCAGUGUCGCAGGGAAGCCGUUAAGUCUGCCGCCUGGGAAGUACGUACGCAAGUAUGAAACUUAAAGGAAUUGGCGGGGGAGCACCACAAGGGGUGAAGCCUGCGGUUCAAUUGGAGUCAACGCCGG